UUUGGGAUGCAUUUGGAGAAUA
RNAcentral lists this non-coding RNA (22 nucleotides) under Arabidopsis thaliana (thale cress). Lineage: Eukaryota; Viridiplantae; Streptophyta; Magnoliopsida; Brassicales; Brassicaceae. The record is from RNAcentral.